Molecule: ribosomal RNA, 390 nt
Filed under: uncultured Scuticociliatia
Lineage: Eukaryota; Ciliophora; Oligohymenophorea
Description: partial small subunit ribosomal RNA
Rfam family: Eukaryotic small subunit ribosomal RNA
Source: RNAcentral
GCUUGUCUCAAAGAUUAAGCCAUGCAUGUCUAAGUAUAAAUGAUAUACAGUAAAACUGCGAAUGGCUCAUUAAAACAGUUAUAGUUUAUUUGGUAAUCGAAUUUACAUGGAUAACCGUGGUAAUUCUAGAGCUAAUACAUGCUGUAAAGCCCGACUUCUCGGAAGGGCCGUAUUUAUUAGACUUAAGCCAAUAUUCCUUGUGUCUAUUGCGAUGAUUCAUAAUAACUGAUCGAAUCUCAAAUUUGAGAUAAAUCAUUCAAGUUUCUGCCCUAUCAGCUUUCGAUGGUAGUGUAUUGGACUACCAUGGCAGUAACGGGUAACGAAGAAUUAGGGUUCGAUUUCGGAGAGGGAGCAUGAGAAACGGCUACCACAUCUAAGGAAGGCAGCAGG